GCCCCUCUAGUGAUCUUUGCUGCCGGCAAAAUACAAAACCUCCUCGGUCGGCAGUCAUUCAUGAAACGGAAUUAUGCUUCAGGAAGCCAGAAAAGGAAGAAGAGAAAGGAAGAGGAGGAUAAGAAAAAACAAGAUAGUGGUGCUUUGCUUAAAUUUCUCAGCCCUCAGGCUCUUCCUAAGGAUACCUCCACUGAUGAAGCUACACCAUCAACUUCAUCCUCAACAUCAACAGAUGCAUCACUUCUCAGUGCUGAUGUUUCCUCUAUAGCACAAUACCACCACCACAAUCUCUAUAAUUAUAGCUGAUAUCCUGCA
Molecule: long non-coding RNA, 315 nt
Organism: Perca flavescens (yellow perch)
Lineage: Eukaryota; Metazoa; Chordata; Actinopteri; Perciformes; Percidae
Exons: 3
Source: RefSeq, a predicted model, not a curated record